Molecule: ribosomal RNA, 1201 nt
Filed under: Thelazia callipaeda (thelaziosis nematode)
Lineage: Eukaryota; Metazoa; Nematoda; Chromadorea; Rhabditida; Thelaziidae
Description: SSU rRNA
Rfam family: Eukaryotic small subunit ribosomal RNA
Source: RNAcentral
UAUCUCACAAGUGUCUGCCUUAUCAACUUUCGAUGGUAGUUUAUGUGCCUACCAUGGUUGUAACGGGUAACGGAGAAUAAGGGUUCGACUCCGGAGAGGGAGCCUGAGAAACGGCUACCACAUCCAAGGAAGGCAGCAGGCGCGCAAAUUACCCACUCUCGGCAUGAGGAGGUAGUGACGAAAAAUAACGAGACCGUUCUCUUUGAGGCCGGUUAUCGGAAUGGGUACAAUUUAAACCUGUUAACGAGGAUCUAUGAGAGGGCAAGUCUGGUGCCAGCAGCCGCGGUAAUUCCAGCUCUCAAAGUGUAUAUCGUCAUUGCUGCGGUUAAAAAGCUCGUAGUUGGAUCUGCGUCUUAGGACUUGGUCCAUCCGAUUGGAUGUGAACUAAGAACCUAGACUAAUAUUUAGCUAGUUUUACUGUAUGUUACCUUAAUUGGUUGCAUAUAGUGGCUGGCAUGUUUACCUUGAAAAAAUUAGAGUGCUUAACGCGGGCUUAUAAUGCUUGAAUACUCGUGCAUGGAAUAAUGAAAUAGGAUCUUGAUUGUUGUAUGCCUAUUUUGUUGGUUUAAUACAUAAAUACAAUUGAGAUAAUGGUUAAGAGGGACGGACGGGGGCAUUCGUAUCGCUGCGUGAGAGGUGAAAUUCUUGGACCGUAGCGAGACGCCCAACUGCGAAAGCAUUUGCCAAGAAUGUCUUCAUUAAUCAAGAACGAAAGUCAGAGGUUCGAAGGCGAUCAGAUACCGCCCUAGUUCUGACCGUAAACGAUACCAACUAGCGUUCCGUUGGCGGUAAAUACGCCUUGACGGGCAGCUUCCCGGAAACGAAAGUUUUUCGGUUCCGGGGGAAGUAUGGUUGCAAAGCUGAAACUUAAAGAAAUUGACGGAAGGGCACCACCAGGAGUGGAGCCUGCGGCUUAAUUUGACUCAACACGGGAAAACUCACCUGGCCCGGACACCGUGAGGAUUGACAGAUUGAAAGCUCUUUCAUGAUUCGGUGGUUGGUGGUGCAUGGCCGUUCUUAGUUGGUGGAGUGAUUUGUCUGGUUUAUUCCGAUAACGAGCGAGACUCUAGCCUACUAAAUAGUUUAUGCUGGAUAAAUGUAUUCGUACGCUAGUCCAGACAACUUCUUAGAGGGACAAGCGGUGUUUAGCCGCAUGAAGUUGAGCAAUAACAGGUCUGUGAUGCCCUUAGAUGUCCAGGGC